CCUACGGGGGGCAGCAGUGGGGAAUAUUGGACAAUGGGGGGAACCCUGAUCCAGCCAUGCCGCGUGUGUGAAGAAGGCCCUCGGGUUGUAAAGCACUUUCAGUGAGGAAGAACGCCUGGUGGUUAAUACCCAUCAGGAAAGACAUCACUCACAGAAGAAGCACCGGCUAACUCCGUGCCAGCAGCCGCGGUAAUACGGAGGGUGCGAGCGUUAAUCGGAAUUACUGGGCGUAAAGCGCGCGUAGGUGGCUUGAUAAGCCGGUUGUGAAAGCCCCGGGCUCAACCUGGGAACGGCAUCCGGAACUGUCAAGCUAGAGUGCAGGAGAGGAAGGUAGAAUUCCCGGUGUAGCGGUGAAAUGCGUAGAGAUCGGGAGGAAUACCAGUGGCGAAGGCGGCCUUCUGGACUGACACUGACGCUGAGGUGCGAAAGCGUGGGUAGCAAACAGGAUUAGAUACCCGAGUAGUC
Molecule: ribosomal RNA, 465 nt
Filed under: Vreelandella stevensii
Lineage: Bacteria; Pseudomonadati; Pseudomonadota; Gammaproteobacteria; Oceanospirillales; Halomonadaceae
Description: partial 16S ribosomal RNA
Rfam family: Bacterial small subunit ribosomal RNA
Source: RNAcentral